GUGCCAGCCGCCGCGGUAAAACCAGCUCCUCGAGGGGUCCCCACGCAUACUGGGCCUAAAGCGUCCGUAGCCGGCCCCGUAAGUCCCCGGUUAAAUCCACCGGAAGACCGGUGGGCCGCCGGGGAUACUGCGGGGCUAGGGAGCGGGAGGGGCCGAGGGUAUUCCGGGGGAUAGCGGUAAAAUGCGUAGAUCCCCGGAGGACCACCAGUGGCGAAGGCGCUCGGCUGGAACGCGUCCGACGGUGAGGGCCGAAAGCUGGGGGAGCAAACCGGAUUAGAUACCCGGGUAGUCC
RNAcentral lists this ribosomal RNA (292 nucleotides) under uncultured prokaryote. Its description in RNAcentral is "partial 16S ribosomal RNA". It matches the Rfam family "Archaeal small subunit ribosomal RNA", at positions 455 to 747 of the family's 1478-position model. The record is from RNAcentral.